UUUUUAUUUUUUUUUAUUUUUCUCAACUGUUCUUGGUUAGGUUACUAUAGUUCAGCAAGUACCGUUAUGAUAAUUUAUGAUAUUCUUAACUUCUGACGGCAUAAAUAGUGGGUAGUAUCAAUGUAGAAAUGCUGUGCUGAGUGGUUAUAUUACUACCUUAAAAAAAUAAGCAGAAACUCGACGUUUCGAGCGAAGGCCCUUCGUCAAGAGUUACAAAUAUAAUAUUUUCACGUUGUAUAAUACUACAAUCUUGGCAAAAGUUCCGUGGACACUGAGAGGUGUAAACUAAAGUAUUACUAUCGGUGUACACUUUUGUUAUGUUUUAUUUCCUACAAUGUUGGUCUUGACAUGCAUUUCGCAAACCUUUCACCUAACCAAUGUACAAGCUUUCGACAUUGAACCGGGGGGGAGGAGGGGGGAAGCUAAACAUUGCUGUUUUGCACGUAUAUAUUGGUCAAGGAUUGUAUUUCUAUUUCAGCACGCGCUGUCCACAAUAAUUUUUGCCGCAGGGUUGUAGUUCCACCGUACAUGCAGCUUAGAUAUCUUAUAUACACUAGAGCCGUGAUUGCAGACUCAGGAUAUUCACAUGAAAUGAGAAGACUCGUAUGUUUUCUAUUUCUUAAACAGGGAACUUAAACAUUAAGUUAAAC
Molecule: non-coding RNA, 650 nt
Organism: Paramuricea clavata
Lineage: Eukaryota; Metazoa; Cnidaria; Anthozoa; Malacalcyonacea; Plexauridae
Source: the annotation of a GenBank genome assembly